Aricia agestis (brown argus) is the source of this 70-nucleotide long non-coding RNA. RefSeq lists it as uncharacterized. The transcript has 3 exons. Lineage: Eukaryota; Metazoa; Arthropoda; Insecta; Lepidoptera; Lycaenidae. The record is from RefSeq and is a predicted model, not a curated record.
AUUAUAAAAAUACACAUUUGGCAGCGAUUAUUAGGUAGCUUUAAAACUGAAAAUGGUAAAUUUUUUUAAG